RNAcentral lists this ribosomal RNA (494 nucleotides) under uncultured bacterium. RNAcentral's name for it is "partial 16S ribosomal RNA". It matches the Rfam family "Bacterial small subunit ribosomal RNA", at positions 28 to 507 of the family's 1533-position model. The record is from RNAcentral.
GACGAACGCUGGCGGCGUGCUUAACACAUGCAAGUCGAACGGAAAGGCCUGCUUUCCCUUGUGUAUUGCGGGUACUCGAGUGGCGAACGGGUGAGUAACACGUGAGUGAUCUGCCCCCAACUUGGGUAUAAGCCUGGGAAACUGGGUCUAAUUCCCGAUAGGACUGCAGGGUGGUGCCUGUGGUGGAAAACGAUUUUCUCGUGGUUGGGGAUGAGCUCGCGGCCUAUCAGCUUGUUGGUGGGGUAAUGGCCUACCAAGGCGGUGACGGGUAGCCGGCCUGCGAUGGUCGACGUCUUCACUGCGCCAGCUGUGCGGCCCAGACUGCUACGAGAGGCGCGAGUUGGGAUAAUUGCGCUAUGCGCAGCCGCCUGGUGCAGCUACGCCGCGUGGGGGAUGCCGGCGUUCAGGUUGUAAGCUCCUUCCGACCGCGAGGAAGACACCUGGUUGGAAGCGUGGUGAAGGUAGUGGUAGUAGAAGCUCCGGCCGACUACGUG